AACGAACGCUGGCGGCAUGCCUAACACAUGCAAGUCGAACGAAACCUUCGGGUCUAGUGGCGCACGGGUGCGUAACGCGUGGGAACAUGCCCUUGGGUUCGGAAUAACUCCCCGAAAGGGGUGCUAAUACCGGAUAAUGUCUUCGAACCGAAGGUUUAUCGACUUUGGAUGGGCCCGCGUUGCAUUAGCUUGUUAUGAGGGUAAAAGCCUACGAAGGCGAGGAUCCAUACCUGGUCUGAGAGGAUGAUCAGCCACACUGGGACUGAGAAACGGCCCAGAAUCCUACGGGAGGGACGAGAGGGUAAUAUUGGAAAAUGGGGGGAAGAAUGAAGCAGUACGGAUGCGUGAGUGAUGAAGGUAUUAGGGUUGUAAAGUUCUUUUACCCGUGAUGAUAAUGACGGUACCGGGAGAAUAAGCUCCGGCUAACUUCGUG
RNAcentral lists this ribosomal RNA (433 nucleotides) under uncultured bacterium. RNAcentral's name for it is "partial 16S ribosomal RNA". It matches the Rfam family "Bacterial small subunit ribosomal RNA", at positions 29 to 507 of the family's 1533-position model. The record is from RNAcentral.